UGAGGAAUUUUGCGCAAUGGGGGGAACCCUGACGCAGCAACGCCGCGUGGGUGAUGAAGGCCUUCGGGUCGUAAAGCCCUGUCGGGCGGGAAGAACGUCCCUUCGGGGAAUGACGGUACCGCCAGAGGAAGCACCGGCUAACUCCGUGCCAGCAGCCGCGGUAAUCCGGAGGGUUCAAGCGUUAUUCGGAAUUACUGGGCGUAAAGGGCGUGCAGGCGGGAGAGCAAGUCUGAUGUGAAAGCCCGGGGCUUAACCCCGGAAGGGCGUUGGAAACUGGUUUUCUUGAGUGCGGGAGGGGAAGGGAGAAUUCCCGGUGUAGAGGUGAAAUUCGUAGAGAUCGGGAGGAACAUCAGUGGCGAAGGCGCCCUUCUGGACAGCAACUGACGCUGAGACGCGAAAGCGUGGGGAGCAAACA
This 415-nucleotide ribosomal RNA is filed under the name uncultured prokaryote. Its description in RNAcentral is "bacterial SSU rRNA". It matches the Rfam family "Bacterial small subunit ribosomal RNA", at positions 355 to 774 of the family's 1533-position model. The record is from RNAcentral.